RNAcentral lists this ribosomal RNA (440 nucleotides) under uncultured bacterium. RNAcentral's name for it is "bacterial SSU rRNA". It matches the Rfam family "Bacterial small subunit ribosomal RNA", at positions 338 to 788 of the family's 1533-position model. The record is from RNAcentral.
CCUACGGGAGGCUGCAGUCGAGAAUCUUCGGCAAUGGGCGCAAGCCUGACCGAGCGACGCCGCGUGCGGGAUGAAGGCCCUUGGGUUGUAAACCGCUGUCGGGGGGGAUGAAACCGCAAGGUUGACAGAGCCCCGGAGGAAGCACGGGCUAAGUUCGUGCCAGCAGCCGCGGUAAUACGAACUGUGCGAACGUUAUUCGGAAUCACUGGGCUUACAGGGUGCGUAGGCGGCGAUGCAAGUCAGGUGUGAAAGCCCACGGCUCAACCGUGGAACAGCGCUUGAAACUGCAUUGCUGGAGUGAGCUAGAGGUAUGCGGAACUUCCGGUGGAGCGGUGAAAUGUGUUGAUAUCGGAAGGAACACCAGAGGCGAAAGCGGCAUACUGGAGCUUGUCUGACGCUGAGGCACGAAAGCCAGGGGAGCAAACGGGAUUAGAUACCCU